UAUAUAUAUAUAUAUAUCUUUCGUAUACUAUAUACAUAGAAUAUAUAGCACACAUUUAUAUGUUCCAUAUAUAAAUAUUUAAUAAGAUUAACAGUGUCAAUAUAGUAUAUAAACAUUUUAUCAAAUAUGCUUUUAAUUAAAAUAAGGAAAAAGAAAACUAUUGAUCGGAACUCGUAUAUGGAAGUCGAAACAACGUCUUUUGCAAAAAGUAUUCAAUGCUUUAUCUCGAAAUAUCUUGAAGAGGACGCAUUUACUUGAAGUUUUCAUUCAAUUGUUACAUCUACAGAAAAAGGGUACCUCAAACGUGAAUGAUUCGUUGUAAUACGGAUUAAGAGUGCAUUUUUUGAUAGACGUUUUCUUCUUUUUCAACCUUUUGCCAUUUUGCAUAAGAGCAAUUUUUACAUAAGGAUCUGAUAAACCACCGACGUCCAUUUUCUUCAGAUUUUUCGCUUCCAA
Long non-coding RNA from Apis dorsata (giant honeybee), 456 nucleotides. RefSeq lists it as uncharacterized. The record is from RefSeq and is a predicted model, not a curated record. The transcript has 2 exons. NCBI's taxonomy places the organism in Eukaryota, Metazoa, Arthropoda, Insecta, Hymenoptera, Apidae.